ACCGUUUAGGCACAAGUAUCGUUUUAAAAGUAUCGGUUUAGCACCGGUAUUGGAAAAAACCCAAACGAUACCCAUCCCUAAUUGUAUGCAGGCUAUAAGUUGUCUUGAAAUUUACAUCUAUCACAAUACAUUUACAUUUACAUUACAUUUAGCAGACGCUUUUGUCCAAAGCGACGUACAAGGGAGAGAACAGUCAAUCUACGCGCAAUAGAGACCUAGUGUAACAAUAAAUACUACUUUACAUAAGAAAUAGAAAAACAAAAUAGAAAAGAAAAAGAAGUGCAGGAAUGUAACUGCUGUAAGUGCAAGUUAAGCACUAGUCGAAGUGCCAGUUAGGAAGGGAGUCAAUAUUGAUAUUGAUGUUGUGGUGGAUGACCUGUUUGGCUGGAAAGACCAUCAGUUCCGUUUUGGCCAGGUUCAGCUGAAGGUGGUGAUUUUUCAUCCAUGUGGAUAUAUCAGCGGGACAGUCCGAUUUCCGCGCCGAGACAUUGGUGUCCUCAGGGGGGAAAGAGAAACAGUUGAGUAUCAUCGGCAUAACAGUGAUAGGAAAAACCAUGCGAGCGGAUGAUAGGGCCCAACGAGGUGGUGUUAAUGGCAAAGAGAAGUGGUCCUAUCACCAAGCCUUGGGGCACCCCUGUGGUGAGGCCGUGAGGUACAGACAGCUGACCUUGCCAUGACACGUUGAACGAGCACACAGUGAGGUACGAUUCAAACCAGGAGUGUGCCUUGCCAGAAAUGCCCAUACUUGACAGUAUGGACAGAAGGAUGCGGUGGUUGACUGUAUCAAACGCAGCUGAUAAGUCAAGCAGGACGAGAGCCGAGGAUUGAGCUGCUGCUCUAGCUGUUUUUAAGGCUUCUGUCACAGACACGGGUGUUUCGGUGGAGUGACUGCUUUUGAAUCCAGACUGUUUUGGAUCAAGAACUCUGUGACCUGUUUGGAAGCUGCCCUCUCUAUAGUUUUCGAUAGGAGCGUGAAGUGAGACCGGCCGAUAGUUUUCCACCUGAGUGGGAUCGAGAGACGGCUUCUUGAGCAGCGGUGUUACCUGAGCCACUUUGAAUAGAGAAGGAAAUGUUCCAGAAUUAAAUUAAGCAUUAAUCACCUGUGUGAUUGCCG
Molecule: long non-coding RNA, 1114 nt
Organism: Clupea harengus (Atlantic herring)
Lineage: Eukaryota; Metazoa; Chordata; Actinopteri; Clupeiformes; Clupeidae
Source: Ensembl